RNAcentral lists this ribosomal RNA (522 nucleotides) under uncultured phytoplankton ESR 1. RNAcentral describes it as "bacterial SSU rRNA". It matches the Rfam family "Bacterial small subunit ribosomal RNA", at positions 338 to 879 of the family's 1533-position model. The record is from RNAcentral.
CCUACGGGAGGCAGCAGUGAGGAAUUUUCCGCAAUGGGCGAAAGCCUGACGGAGCAAUACCGCGUGAGGGAUGAAGGAUUUUGGUCUGUAAACCUCUUUUCUCAAGAAAGAAGUUCUGACGGUACUUGAGGAAUAAGCAUCGGCUAACUCCGUGCCAGCAGCCGCGGUAAUACGGGGGAUGCAAGCGUUAUCCGGAAUGAUUGGGCGUAAAGCGCCUGUAGGUUGUUUAUUAAGUCCGUUGUUAAAGCCUAGGGCUUAACCCUAGAAAAGCAAUGGAAACUAGUAGACUAGAGUAUGGCAGGGGUAGAGGGAAUUUCUAGUGUAGCGGUGAAAUGCGUAGAUAUUAGAAAGAACACCGGUGGCGAAAGCGCUCUACUGGACCAUUACUGACACUCAGAGGCGAAAGCUAGGGUAGCAAAAGGGAUUAGAUACCCCUGUAGUCCUAGCCGUAAACGAUGGAUACUAGAUGUUGUGCAUUAUGUACAGUAUCGUAGCUAACGCGUUAAGUAUCCCGCCUGGGGA